This 392-nucleotide ribosomal RNA is filed under the name uncultured bacterium. Its description in RNAcentral is "partial 16S ribosomal RNA". It matches the Rfam family "Bacterial small subunit ribosomal RNA", at positions 523 to 918 of the family's 1533-position model. The record is from RNAcentral.
AUACGGAGGAUCCGAGCGUUAUCCGGAUUUAUUGGGUUUAAAGGGUGCGCAGGCGGCCCUUUAAGUCAGCGGUUAAAUCGUGGGGCUCAACCCCAUUCUGCCGUUGAUACUGGGUGGCUUGAUUGCGGUCGAGGUUGGCGGAAUUCGUUGUGGAGCGGUGAAAUGCAUAGAUAUGACGAAGAACACCGAUUGCGUAGGCAGCUGACCAGACCGCAAAUGACGCUCAUGCACGAAAGUGCGGGGAUCGAACAGGAUUAGAUACCCUGGUAGUCCGCACAGUAAACGAUGAAUACUUGUUUUCGGCGAUAUAAUGUCGGAGGCAAAGCGAAAGCGAUAAGUAUUCCACCUGGGGAGUACGCCGGCAACGGUGAAACUUAAAGGAAUUGACGGGG